This 497-nucleotide ribosomal RNA is filed under the name uncultured bacterium. RNAcentral describes it as "partial 16S ribosomal RNA". It matches the Rfam family "Bacterial small subunit ribosomal RNA", at positions 28 to 507 of the family's 1533-position model. The record is from RNAcentral.
GAUGAACGCUGGCGGCGUGCCUAAUACAUGCAAGUCGAGCGAACAGACGAGGAGCUUGCUCCUCUGACGUUAGCGGCGGACGGGUGAGUGACACGUGGAUAACCUACCUAUAAGACUGGGAUAACUUCGGGAAACCGGAGCUAAUACCGGAUAACAUGUUGAACCGCAUGGUUCAACAGUGAAAGACGGUCUUGCUGUCACUUAUAGAUGGAUCCGCGCCGCAUUAGCUAGUUGGUAAGGUAACGGCUUACCAAGGCAACGAUGCGUAGCCGACCUGAGAGGGUGAUCGGCCACACUGGAACUGAGACACGGUCCAGACUCCUACGGGAGGCAGCAGUAGGGAAUCUUCCGCAAUGGGCGAAAGCCUGACGGAGCAACGCCGCGUGAGUGAUGAAGGUCUUCGGAUCGUAAAACUCUGUUAUUAGGGAAGAACAAAUGUGUAAGUAACUAUGCACGUCUUGACGGUACCUAAUCAGAAAGCCACGGCUAACUACGUG